RNAcentral lists this ribosomal RNA (269 nucleotides) under uncultured prokaryote. Its description in RNAcentral is "partial 16S ribosomal RNA". It matches the Rfam family "Bacterial small subunit ribosomal RNA", at positions 524 to 792 of the family's 1533-position model. The record is from RNAcentral.
GACAGAGGGUGCGAGCGUUAAUCGGAAUGACUGGGCGUAAAGGGCGUGUAGGCGGUGAGAUAAGUCAGGUGUGAAAGACUCGAGCUCAACUUGAGAACUGCAUUUGAAACUAUCUGACUCGAGAUCAGUAGAGGGGAGUGGAAUUUCCGGUGUAGCGGUGAAAUGCGUAGAUAUCGGAAGGAACACCAGUGGCGAAGGCGACUCCCUGGGCUGAUUCUGACGCUGAGGCGCGAAAGCGUGGGGAGCAAACAGGAUUAGAUACCCCCGUA